UGCCUACGGGGCGCAGCAGUGGGGAAUAUUGGGCAAUGGGCGCAAGCCUGACCCAGCAAUGCCGCGUGAAGGAAGAAGGCUUUCGGGUUGUAAACUUCUUUGACAGGGGAAGAGCAGAAGACGGUACCCUGAAAACAAGCCACGGCUAACUACGUGCCAGCAGCCGCGGUAAUACGUAGGUGGCAAGCGUUGUCCGGAUUAACUGGGUGUAAAGGGCGUGUAGCCGGGAAGGUAAGUCAGAUGUG
Molecule: ribosomal RNA, 245 nt
Filed under: uncultured bacterium
Lineage: Bacteria
Description: partial 16S ribosomal RNA
Rfam family: Bacterial small subunit ribosomal RNA
Source: RNAcentral